AUUGAACGCUGGCGGCAUGCCUUACACAUGCAAGUCGAACGGCAGCACGGGAGCAAUCCUGGUGGCGAGUGGCGAACGGGUGAGUAACAUAUCGGAACGUAUCCAAUAAUGGGGGAUAACGAGUCGAAAGAUUCGCUAAUACCGCAUACGCCCUACGGGGGAAAGCUGGGGACCUUCGGGCCUGGCGUUAAUGGAGCGGCCGAUAUCUGAUUAGCUAGUUGGUGAGGUAAAGGCUCACCAAGGCGACGAUCAGUAGCUGGUCUGGGAGGACGACCAGCCACACUGGAACUGAGACACGGUCCAGACUCCUACGGGAGGCAGCAGUGGGGAAUUUUGGACAAUGGGCGCAAGCCUGAUCCAGCCAUUCCGCGUGAGUGAAGAAGGCCUUCGGGUUGUAAAGCUCUUUCGCAAGGGAAGAAAACUUAGCCACUAACAUUGGUUGAGGUUGACGGUACCUUGAUAAGAAGCACCGGCUAACUACGUGCCAGCAGCCGCCGCGG
This 500-nucleotide ribosomal RNA is filed under the name uncultured bacterium. RNAcentral describes it as "partial 16S ribosomal RNA". It matches the Rfam family "Bacterial small subunit ribosomal RNA", at positions 30 to 523 of the family's 1533-position model. The record is from RNAcentral.